GAUGAAGAACGCAGCGAAAUGCGAUAAGUAAUGUGAAUUGCAGAAUUCAGUGAAUCAUCGAAUCUUUGAACGCACAUUGCGCCCGCCAGUAUUCUGGCGAGCAUGCCUGUUCGAGCGUCAUUUCAACCAUCAAGCCCCAGGCUUGUGUUGGAGCCCUGCGGCUGCCGCAGCCUCCCAAAACCAGUGGCGGGCUCGCUAUCACACCGAGUGCAGUAGUUUACUCUUCGCUCAGGGCGUGUGGCGGGUGCUAGCCGUGAAACCCCCAACUUCUCAAGGUUGACCUCGGAUCAGGUAGGAAUACCCGCUGAACUUAAGCAUAUCAAUCAGCGGAGGA
Molecule: unclassified non-coding RNA, 334 nt
Filed under: soil metagenome
Description: partial contains 5.8S ribosomal RNA, internal transcribed spacer 2, and large subunit ribosomal RNA
Rfam family: 5.8S ribosomal RNA (bases 1-120)
Source: RNAcentral